AGUGGCGAACGGGUGAGUAAUAUAUCGGAACGUACCCAAGAGUGGGGGAUAACGUAGCGAAAGUUACGCUAAUACCGCAUACGAUCUAAGGAUGAAAGCAGGGGACCGCAAGGCCUUGUGCUCCUGGAGCGGCCGAUAUCUGAUUAGCUAGUUGGUGAGGUAAAGGCUCACCAAGGCAACGAUCAGUAGCUGGUCUGAGAGGACGACCAGCCACACUGGAACUGAGACACGGUCCAGACUCCUACGGGAGGCAGCAGUGGGGAAUUUUGGACAAUGGGGGCAACCCUGAUCCAGCAAUGCCGCGUGAGUGAAGAAGGCCUUCGGGUUGUAAAGCUCUUUUGUCAGGGAAGAAAAGGUCGUGGCUAAUAUCCACGGCUGCUGACGGUACCUGAAGAAUAAGCACCGGCUAACUACGUGCCAGCAGCCGCGGUAAUACGUAGGGUGCAAGCGUUAAUCGGAAUUACUGGGCGUAAAGCGUGCGCAGGCGGUUUCGUAAGUCUGUCGUGAAAUCCCCGGGCUUAACCUGGGAAUGGCGAUGGAGACUGCGAGGCUAGAGUUUGGCAGAGGGGGGUAGAAUUCCACGUGUAGCAGUGAAAUGCGUAGAGAUGUGGAGGAACACCGAUGGCGAAGGCAGCCCCCUGGGUCAAAACUGACGCUCAUGCACGAAAGCGUGGGGAGCAAACAGGAUUAGAUACCCUGGUAGUCCACGCCCUAAACGAUGUCUACUAGUUGUUGGGUCUUAAUUGACUUAGUAACGCAGCUAACGCGUGAAGUAGACCGCCUGGGGAGUACGGUCGCAAGAUUAAAACUCAAAGGAAUUGACGGGGACCCGCACAAGCGGUGGGAUGAUGUGAUUAAUUCGAUGCAACGCGAAAACCUUACCUACCCCUGACAUGGCAGAAUCCUGGAGAGAUCUGGGAGUGCUCGAAAGAGGACCUGCACACAGGUGCUGCAUGGCUGUCGUCAGCUC
This 970-nucleotide ribosomal RNA is filed under the name Pseudoduganella sp. RNAcentral's name for it is "bacterial SSU rRNA". It matches the Rfam family "Bacterial small subunit ribosomal RNA", at positions 94 to 1061 of the family's 1533-position model. Lineage: Bacteria; Pseudomonadati; Pseudomonadota; Betaproteobacteria; Burkholderiales; Oxalobacteraceae. The record is from RNAcentral.